CAAUAGCGUAUAUUAAAGUUGUUGCAGUUAAAAAGCUCGUAGUUGAAUUUCUGUACAUUCUCAGUUCUGGCUUCGGUCAAGCUGUGGAGUGUGCAUCCGCUUGCAAACCUAGCCCGGCCUUUACUGGUCGACUAGGGGAGUAAGCCCUUUACUUUGAAAAAAUUAGAGUGUUUCAGGCAGGCAAUUGCUCGAAUACAUUAGCAUGGAAUAAUGGAAUAGGACUUUUGUCCAUUUGGUUGGUUAUUGGACAUUAGUAAUGAUUAAAAGGGACAGUUGGGGGCAUUAGUAUUUAAUUGUCAGAGGUAAAAUUCUUGGAUCAAUUAAAGACUAACUUAUGCGAAAGCAUUUGCCAAGGAUGUUUUCAUUAA
RNAcentral lists this ribosomal RNA (368 nucleotides) under uncultured eukaryote. RNAcentral describes it as "partial 18S ribosomal RNA". It matches the Rfam family "Eukaryotic small subunit ribosomal RNA", at positions 592 to 976 of the family's 1831-position model. The record is from RNAcentral.